GAAUAGUGUGGACGUGGCAUAAGCUUUACAAUAUUGAAAUCUGACAGCACUCAAAGCUUCCGUUUUUUAAUUAAACUGGUUUCCGAUUUUGUAAGAUUGAAAUUAUAAUGUCUAGUACUUGUGACGAAAAUUAUGGGAAAUAUUAAGCGCAAAAAUAAUAACAAAAACUAAACAGCACGAACACUACUUUUAAGGAAUGUGCACAAUCAAGGGCAAAGCUUCUUUGGUUGCGUUGGUUCGUUUUGUCUACAAAAUAAGUCGUGGCCUUAAUUUGAGAUUUUUCGCUGUAAGUGUUCAGAGAAGGCUGAGAAAUUGCUUGCUUGAGCAAAUCCCGCCACUGGCAUGCGUUGAUGAAUUGUGGUAUACAGCGUAUUUUGGGGUUUGCGGCUGUUGCGCUGCGUGCUUGACUGUGGUGGCGGCAAAAACCGCAUACAAGAAUGCAAAUGUAUAGAGAAUUGUAUAAAUGAGCAACCAACAGCGGCAAUGGCAAAGCGUGGCAAUUGGGUGCAUUGAUGUGCUUAAUGGUGUAUAAACAAAUAAAAUAGCGGAAACGGAUAUGCCUGCGCUACAUUUGUUAUUUUAACUUAUACAACGACUUAUUUGUUGACAAUACAACCAAUUAAAAUGCGGUAAAUAUUAUUGCAAAUUUAACUGCAAACCUCUAACAAAAUAAAUUCGUUUUUCUUUUGAGCUUAUAUUGCAUAAUAUGCCAAUCAAAAUCAGUUUGAAUCAAAGAUGCAGACAUUAAAUUUCAUGUUAAAAAUAUCCAAUCGUUUCACGUUGAACGCGUAUCACAAUGAAGCCGAUGUUAUUCAUUUCGGUAUAGACACCAGUCUCAAAAAUGGAUGAAAAAAUUGCACAUCAUAUUCAAGACUAUAAACGCAUUCCGCAUUUGUAAUCGAGGGUAGUAAAACUUCAUCUAAAAUGAGGCGAAAAACGACUAGCCAGAAAUGCCCAUAUGCACUUUAAGUUGAAAACAGUAGCCGUGCACUUCGCUACAUAAGUGCAUAUAAUAAAAACGACUGCAAAAGCGGCAAGAUGCAUAUCUUCCAGAGAUUCUCAACUAAUGAAACGAUGCCAUUUACAAAAUCACCAUCAAACAUUAAACUUAGAUCGAAAAAUUCAUUAACUGAGAAAUUGCCUAUUAUCAAGAAGAGAAUAAGUCCACUUGUGUACGUUUGUGCACCUUGAAAAGCUGCUAUUAAAACAUCCAUAAGACCUUCCCACAACAGCAAAGCAUCGGAAGUACAAAUAUUGUUUAACUAAAUAAAUAUAGUAAAGUAAGCCAUUGCCCUCAAACAUUUCCCAGCUCCUAUGACUAUGGAAAAAAUUAAAGUCUA
Molecule: long non-coding RNA, 1340 nt
Organism: Ceratitis capitata (Mediterranean fruit fly)
Lineage: Eukaryota; Metazoa; Arthropoda; Insecta; Diptera; Tephritidae
Exons: 2
Source: RefSeq, a predicted model, not a curated record